This 354-nucleotide ribosomal RNA is filed under the name uncultured Capnocytophaga sp. RNAcentral describes it as "bacterial SSU rRNA". It matches the Rfam family "Bacterial small subunit ribosomal RNA", at positions 8 to 368 of the family's 1533-position model. The record is from RNAcentral. Lineage: Bacteria; Pseudomonadati; Bacteroidota; Flavobacteriia; Flavobacteriales; Flavobacteriaceae.
AGAGUUUGAUCCUGGCUCAGGAUGAACGCUAGCGGCAGGCCUAACACAUGCAAGUCGAGGGAGAAGCCCUUCGGGGCAGAAACCGGCGCACGGGUGCGUAACGCGUAUGCAACCUACCUUUCACAGGGGGAUAGCCCGAAGAAAUUUGGAUUAAUACCCCAUAAUAUUGUUGGAUGGCAUCAUUUAGCAAUUAAAGCUACGACGGUGGAAGAUGGGCAUGCGUCCUAUUAGCUAGUUGGAGUGGUAACGGCACCCCAAGGCUACGAUAGGUAGGGGUCCUGAGAGGGAGAUCCCCCACACUGUACUGAGACAGGGACCAGACUCCUGCGGGAGGCAGCAGAAGGGCGAAUUCGU